UUACACGAUUUAGUAUAUAUUUCCAUCCCUGCGAGCCCUCCUCAUUCAUUCCCGCCAGCCGUGACCUCAGAGUGACAUCGUGCCUUGAUCUACGUGUCCAGGAAUUCUCUGAAGCUACACCAUGAAGCUGUUUGUCUGCAUGAUGCUGGUGACGAUGGUUGUCAUGGCAACGCUGAUUGACGACUCCGAGGGAUGGAGGCGUCGGCGCAGAAGGGGUCGUCUGGAUGUGGAUGCAGAUGCUGACUCAGAGUUGAGGGAGGUUGUGGAAGAGGCGAGGUCGCUCAGGAACUUGAUGAGGCCAGUGAAGACUUGGAUACACAAGGACUAGAGAACAUGAAAAUGGAGAACAUACUCGAGGAUCAGGAAGAAGGUCAAACGAGAAGGAAUCGCGAGUAAAAAUUUAGUAUAGAGUUGAAACUGAUUUAGAACCAAAGGACGGUUAGUCGUCGAUUUUAUCUUUGUCGGAUUGAAUAUAUUUUGUCUCGUAUUAUUCACGUAACAUCCAAUGUUAUUCAACUGAAAGAGAAUGCCACUUGAGAUGGUUGACUCGCAACUAAAUUUUUAACUCACUCUGAUCAGGAAGUGAAGGGAGAGAAGAUUGAAGGACUCUCGA
Branchiostoma floridae (Florida lancelet) is the source of this 613-nucleotide long non-coding RNA. RefSeq lists it as uncharacterized. NCBI's taxonomy places the organism in Eukaryota, Metazoa, Chordata, Leptocardii, Amphioxiformes, Branchiostomatidae. The transcript has 3 exons. The record is from RefSeq and is a predicted model, not a curated record.